Molecule: ribosomal RNA, 413 nt
Filed under: uncultured bacterium
Lineage: Bacteria
Description: bacterial SSU rRNA
Rfam family: Bacterial small subunit ribosomal RNA
Source: RNAcentral
ACUACGUGCCAGCAGCCGCGGUAAUACGUAGGUGGCAAGCGUUGUCCGGAUUUCUUGGGCGUAAAGCGAGUGCAGGCGGUUCAAUAAGUCUGAUGUGAAGCUUCGGCUCAACCGGAGAAUUGCAUCAGAAACUGUUGAACUUGAGUGCAGAAGAGGAGAGUGGAACUCCAUGUGUAGCGGUGGAAUGCGUAGAUAUAUGGAAGAACACCAGUGGCGAAGGCGGCUCUCUGGUCUGCMACUGACGCUGAGGCUCGAAMGCAUGGGUMGCGAACAGGAUUAGAUACCCUGGUAGUCCAUGCCGUAAACGAUGAGUGCUAAGUGUUGGGAGGUUUCCGCCUCUCAGUGCUGCUAGUAACGCAUUAAGCACUCCGCCUGGGGAGUACGACCGCAAGGUUGAAACUCAAAGGAAUUGA